This 64-nucleotide transfer RNA is filed under the name Tessaratoma papillosa. Its description in RNAcentral is "tRNA-Asp". Lineage: Eukaryota; Metazoa; Arthropoda; Insecta; Hemiptera; Tessaratomidae. The record is from RNAcentral.
AAAAGCUUAGUUUAAAAUAAAACAUUAAUUUGUCAAGUUAAAAAUAUUAUAUUAAUAGUUUUUA